AAAGAAUCAGUCAGAUAAAGGUAAUUGUAACAAGGCAAACAACACAAACACUCCUUAGUUGCAUGAGGUGGUGUGUGUGUGUGUGUGUGUGUGUGUGUGUGU
Monopterus albus (swamp eel) is the source of this 102-nucleotide long non-coding RNA. RefSeq lists it as uncharacterized. The transcript has 3 exons. NCBI's taxonomy places the organism in Eukaryota, Metazoa, Chordata, Actinopteri, Synbranchiformes, Synbranchidae. The record is from RefSeq and is a predicted model, not a curated record.